This is a long non-coding RNA of Dioscorea cayenensis subsp. rotundata (Guinea yam), 466 nucleotides long. RefSeq lists it as uncharacterized. Lineage: Eukaryota; Viridiplantae; Streptophyta; Magnoliopsida; Dioscoreales; Dioscoreaceae. The record is from RefSeq and is a predicted model, not a curated record. The transcript is spliced from 2 exons.
AUCCUAAAUAUCAUUCCACGGAGAUGAAAAUCCAACUCUUAUGUUGGCUUCUUCUUGUCCAAAUCUUUCAACUCACUUGGUGUUCUAAUGAAAAAAUAUUGGAGAAUAAUGACCACCAAAUGGAUCAACUUCAAGCAGAAAUGAAAAACAAUGAACAUGUUAAUAAAAUGAAAGUUGAAAGCGUGGAUGAACGUGAACUCGCCACAAAGGAAGAUGCCAACAAAAGCAAAGAUGGUGGUGUUAGUACUAUACAUGUUGUUAUUCAACGGCGUCCACGUAAAAAUAGUGCCACAAGCAUCCACAUAAUGCAUAACCACUCUGUCGUCAUGUACUUUUAUUUUCUUCCAUUUUGGUUAGUAUCACUUUUUAUUCACAAGUUGUUCUAAUUUUAAACUUUAUAAAUAAAUAGAUAAAUAUAUAGUAUUUAUUACAAUAUCGUAAUAAGAUUUCUGCCAUCCAAACAAUA